UAGGGAAUCUUCGGCAAUGGACGCAAGUCUGACCGAGCAACGCCGCGUGAGUGAGGAAGGGUUUCGGCUCGUAAAACUCUGUUGCCAGGGAAGAAUGCACGGGAGAGUAACUGCUCUUGUGUUGACGGUACCUGAGAAGAAAGCCCCGGCUAACUACGUGCCAGCAGCCGCGGUAAUACGUAGGGGGCAAGCGUUGUCCGGAAUUAUUGGGCGUAAAGCGCGCGCAGGCGGUCGUUUAAGUCCGAUGUUUAAACCGAGGGCUCAACCCUCGGUCGCAUGGGAAACUGGGCGACUGGAGUGCAGGAGAGGAAAGUGGAAUUCCACGUGUAGCGGUGAAAUGCGUAGAGAUGUGGAGGAACACCAGUGGCGAAGGCGACUUUCUGGCCUGUAACUGACGCUGAGGCGCGAAAGCGUGGGGAGCAAACAGG
This 428-nucleotide ribosomal RNA is filed under the name uncultured bacterium. RNAcentral describes it as "bacterial SSU rRNA". It matches the Rfam family "Bacterial small subunit ribosomal RNA", at positions 355 to 776 of the family's 1533-position model. The record is from RNAcentral.